This 776-nucleotide ribosomal RNA is filed under the name uncultured Neocallimastigales. Its description in RNAcentral is "partial large subunit ribosomal RNA". It matches the Rfam family "Eukaryotic large subunit ribosomal RNA", at positions 24 to 645 of the family's 3401-position model. The record is from RNAcentral. Lineage: Eukaryota; Fungi; Neocallimastigomycota; Neocallimastigomycetes; Neocallimastigales.
UAUGUGAUCGUCUCUCGCAUAUCAAUAAGCGGAGGAAAAGAAACUAACAAGGAUUCCCCUAGUAACGGCGAGUGAAGCGGGAAGAGCUCAAAUUUGAAAUCUUAAAGGGUUUCCCUUUACGAAUUGUAGUUUAAAGAAGUGUUUUCUGUUGAGGUUUUGGUAAAAGUUCUUUGGAAUAGGACAUCAUAGAGGGUGAGAAUCCCGUAUUUGACCUUUACUUUCAACUUUGUGAUACACUUUCAAAGAGUCGGAUUGUUUGGGAAUGCAGUCCAAAAUGGGUGGUAAAUUUCAUCUAAAGCUAAAUAUUGGCGAGAGACCGAUAGCGAACAAGUACCGUGAGGGAAAGAUGAAAAGAACUUUGAAAAGAGAGUUAAACAGUACGUGAAAUUGUCAAAAGGGAAGCGUUUGACACCAGUGUUGUUUUUCUGAAAAUCAAUUAAAGAACUGUUUAUGCUAAGCUGUUUAGACUUUAUCAGCUAAUCUGCUUAGUUUUGAGCUUUUCUUUAAUGCACUUUUCAGUUAACAAGUCAACAUCAAUUUCUUUUGCUGUAAAAAAGCUUGAGGAAGGUGGCUUGAGAUUCGUCUUAAGUGUUUAUAGCCUCUUGCCUAUGCAGUCGGAGAGAUUGAGGUCCUGCAGCGUAGAUCCUUCGGGGCUAAAUGCAUUUGUGCUAAGUUAUAGCAUUUUAUAGACAACUUGUUGACUAUGAUUUGUCUUGUAGCUUACUCGCUUAUGUUAUUUUACCUACGCUUAGGAUGUUGAUAUCGCGCUCUCACUG